Molecule: ribosomal RNA, 492 nt
Filed under: uncultured bacterium
Lineage: Bacteria
Description: partial 16S ribosomal RNA
Rfam family: Bacterial small subunit ribosomal RNA
Source: RNAcentral
AGUGAACGCUGGCGGUAGGCCUAACACAUGCAAGUCGAACGGCAGCACAGUAAGAGCUUGCUCUUACGGGUGGCGAGUGGCGGACGGGUGAGGAAUACAUCGGAAUCUACUUUUUCGUGGGGGAUAACGUAGGGAAACUUACGCUAAUACCGCAUACGACCAACGGGUGAAAGCAGGGGAUCUUCGGACCUUGCGCGAUUGAUUGAGCCGAUGCCGGAUUAGCUAGUUGGCGGGGUAAAGGCCCACCAAGGCGACGAUCCGUAGCUGGUCUGAGAGGAUGAUCGGCCACACUGGAACUGAGACACGGUCCAGACUCCUACGGGAGGCAGCAGUGGGGAAUAUUGGACAAUGGGCGCAAGCCUGAUCCAGCCAUACCGCGUGAGUGAAGAAGGCCUUCGGGUUGUAAAGCACUUUUGUUGGGAAAGAAAAGCAGCAGGUUAAUACCCCGCUGUUCUGACGGUACCCAAAGAAUAAGCACCGGCUAACUUCGUG